AACGAACGCUGGCGGCAUGCCUAACACAUGCAAGUCGAACGAGACCUUCGGGUCUAGUGGCGCACGGGUGCGUAACGCGUGGGAACCUGCCCUUAGGUUCGGAAUAACUCCCCGAAAGGGGUGCUAAUACCGGAUAAUGUCUUCGGACCAAAGAUUUAUCGCCUUUGGAUGGGCCCGCGUUGGAUUAGCUAGUUGGUAGGGUAAAAGCCUACCAAGGCGACGAUCCAUAGCUGGUCUGAGAGGAUGAUCAGCCACACUGGGACUGAGACACGGCCCAGACUCCUACGGGAGGCAGCAGUGGGGAAUAUUGGACGAUGGGCGAAAGCCUGAUCCAGCAAUGCCGCGUGAGUGAUGAAGGCCUUAGGGUUGUAAAGCUCUUUUAACCGGGAUGAUAAUGACAGUACCGGGAGAAUAAGCUCCGGCUAACUCCGUG
This 433-nucleotide ribosomal RNA is filed under the name uncultured bacterium. Its description in RNAcentral is "partial 16S ribosomal RNA". It matches the Rfam family "Bacterial small subunit ribosomal RNA", at positions 29 to 507 of the family's 1533-position model. The record is from RNAcentral.